RNAcentral lists this long non-coding RNA (236 nucleotides) under Dromaius novaehollandiae (emu). RNAcentral describes it as "lncRNA (ENSDNVG00000002332.1)". Lineage: Eukaryota; Metazoa; Chordata; Aves; Casuariiformes; Dromaiidae. The record is from RNAcentral.
GAGCAAAUCAACCAGCACAUUUAAGCAGCCUUUUUAACCCUGAGACUUUCCAAGAUUUCUUCUUCACACAGGAAGUUUCUUUAUAUUGUCAGAUUUAGCACUUUGCUCAUGUAAUGAGAUCAGAGCUAGGAUCACUGCUGCACAGUAGAAAGACUUCCUUAAGACAUUUGUCCUUGAAACUGCACCAAACUCUUGGAAGAACCCAGAACCUUUAUCUUAAGCAAAACCAAAAUUAA